This 2497-nucleotide long non-coding RNA is filed under the name Salmo salar (Atlantic salmon). Its description in RNAcentral is "lncRNA (ENSSSAG00000103843.1)". The record is from RNAcentral. Lineage: Eukaryota; Metazoa; Chordata; Actinopteri; Salmoniformes; Salmonidae.
GCAGACGCUCUUAUCCAGAGCGACUUACAAAUUGGUGCAUUCACCUUAUGAUAUCCAGUGGAACAACCACUUUACAAUAGUACAUCUAUAUCUUUUUUUUGGGAGGGGGGGGUUAGAAGGAUUACUUUAUCCUAUCCCAGGUAUUCCUUAAAGAGGUGUGGUUUCAGGUGUCUCCGGAAGGUGGUGAUUGACUCCGCAGUCCUGGCGUCGUGAGGGAGCUUGUUCCACCAUUGGGGUGCCAGAGCAGUUGCUUGGCUCUAUUUUACCUAUGCGUUCGUGGAGGACGGAGGAUGUGGGCAGUUUUAGUUCUAUUUCACCUCAUAAGCGUAUGCUCAGUCCGUGCAAAAUGAUUAUCUCAGAAUUGCUCUCGAAGGAUGAUGUUUUUUGACGUUGUCUACCUACUGACUACUUACUGCUUCAGAGGACCGAAAAGACUGGAACGAGAACGCUCUUUCUUUACCCUAUAUUGUAUUUGUCUUUAUAUAAGAAAAUAUUUUUAAAUAGGAAUAAAUAAUUGAAGCUGUUUUUAGAUAGACAUUGCUAGCUGCUGUACUUUUUUACCUCAGCCUGCCUAGUCAGCUAGAUAGCUAACCAGAGCUUUAUUUAGCUAAUGUUAGCUAGCUAGCUAACUGUUAUUGUAGCUUUCUGUUUGUAUGUGGCUUACACUUCAAUAGCAUCCUUCGAGGACAUUUUCUGUUAUCUUUCCAACUAGGCGAAGUACUAUGAAGGCACCACUGAUCUUGACAAGAGGCACAACAUUCGUAGGGGGCAGAGGUUUUCCCAAUUCAGGGCAAUUACAUGUACCUACGGUGGAAGGAUGGCCAGCCACAUGGGAGGGUGAUUUUCACUGAGGAGAAGGGUGCUGUGCUGACCGAGAUGCACGCUGGCCAUUUCGGAGUGAAGCACAAGAUUGCCAAAAUCAACCUACGCUUCUUCUGCCGUGGGAUUGUCAAGGAUGUGGGCAGCUGGGAAAGUGGAAUAACCUUUUGUUUAUCAAUCACAUUCUAUUAUAUCUGAAAUGAGAGCACACAAUGUUUCAAUUUAUAACUUUGUACUUAAAGGUCAGUACCUGUCUAUCCUGCCAGAAGUUUGAGAGUGUGAAGACUGUCGCCGGAGUUGAAGCCCAUCAGUUGUUUCACCAUGGCACAUGAUCGGAAUGGCAACAGCUGGUGUCUGACGGCGACCGAUUACUUUACCAAGUGGGGGGAGGCAAUCAAUACCCAUUAAGGAUGAAACUGACAAUACCCAUUAAAGAUGAGGCUAGCGAGGCCACCUCCAAGGCAAUGAUGGACAUCUUCAACACCCACGGUUCUCCUGAGGUCAUCUUGAGUGACCGACGUCGUGAACUCUGGAAUUGUCACAACUUCCGCCGAAGUCGGUCCCUCUCCUUGUUCGGGCGGCGUUCGGCGGUCGACGUCACCGGUCUUCUAGCCAUCGCCGAUCCACUUUUCAUUUUCCAUUUGUUUUGUCUUUGUUUUCUACACACCUUGUUUCUAUUCCCCAAUUACAUGUUCAUUAUUUAACCCUCUGUUUCCCACAUGUUAGUGUGCAUGUUUAUUGAUUGUUCAUGUCGGUACUUGUCGGCUGGUUAUGUUUGCCGGGUUAUGUAUUUAAGCCCGUUAUUUUCGAGUGACCGGUAUUUCUCCGCACCCUGAGUAUUGUCUGUAUACUGGUGCUGUCGUGGAAUUAAAUACCUUGUACACUCAUUUCUGCUCUCCUGCGCCUGAUUCACUGCACCAGUUACCCACCGCCUGACAGGAACAAGGUUUGGAUGAACGGACCAACCAGACCCUCAAGACUGACAUGGGAAAGUCCCUUGAUGGGUACCAGGAAUGAUGGGAGGACAAGCUGAAGAUCACUGAAGUCCCACCUGAUGUGGUGGAAGUUGUCUAGAUCAGAACGCCUUCGAGGACCCCCUUCAGGCACAGGUGAGAUUGAACAUCGACAAGGCGCAGGAGAAAAAGAAGGGGAGCUACCGGAGGAGAAUCAAUAAAGGGACGAAGUGCUUCGACAUCCGGGCAAAUUACUUGGUUUGGAAGAAGAACGAAAGGAAGGCGAGACCUGGCUGGGGUUGCCAUCUGUUAAGAAAACAAGAACCUUCUCCAGUUGUAGCAGUUACACGGUCGACCACUGAAAGCCCCGAGGCCCUACACUUCAGUGAAGCACAAUAGACAAAGACCAUUGACUGUCUGAGUCAUCCAGGAGGUAUCCCAUUCACUGGAGCCAGUGAAGUGAAGUCAGAGGGGGACCAGUGAAGUUGGAGGGGGACCAGCUUGAGGAGACUAAACAGGAGGUGGAGGCGGUGUCAUCCUCAAAGCUGUGCGGAAUAAGGUCACGGAUCUCCAAGUUCUUCAAGGAAAAAGCCAGAGCCAGGGAGUCCUAUAGUAGCAUAAACAGUGGAGGACAAUGCACCCUUCUCCUUUGUGAGACCCCCAUGUACGAGAUGAAACAGUGUUAUAAACCAAAUAAAAAUGUCUUCGUCUUGGCAGCCCCACCG